GACGAACGCUGGCGGCGUGCUUAACACAUGCAAGUCGAGCGGAAAGGCCCUUCGGGGUACUCGAGCGGCGAACGGGUGAGUAACACGUGAGUAAUCUGCCCCUAGCUCUGGGAUAGCUCCGGGAAACCGGGAUUAAUACCGGAUACGACCCCUUCGGACAUCUGAAGGGGUGGAAAGAUUUAUCGGCUAGGGAUGAGCUCGCGGCCUAUCAGCUUGUUAGUGGGGUAACGGCCCACCAAGGCGACGACGGGUAGCCGGCCUGAGAGGGCGACCGGCCACACUGAGACUGAGACACGGCCCAGACUCCUACGGGAGGCAGCAGUGGGGAAUCUUGCGCAAUGGGCGAAAGCCUGACGCAGCAACGCCGCGUG
RNAcentral lists this ribosomal RNA (371 nucleotides) under uncultured bacterium. RNAcentral describes it as "bacterial SSU rRNA". It matches the Rfam family "Bacterial small subunit ribosomal RNA", at positions 28 to 403 of the family's 1533-position model. The record is from RNAcentral.